This 308-nucleotide unclassified non-coding RNA is filed under the name uncultured Cordycipitaceae. RNAcentral describes it as "sequence contains ITS1". The stretch from base 1 to 105 matches the Rfam family "5.8S ribosomal RNA", at positions 50 to 154 of the family's 154-position model. Lineage: Eukaryota; Fungi; Ascomycota; Sordariomycetes; Hypocreales; Cordycipitaceae. The record is from RNAcentral.
GAAACGCGAUAAGUAAUGUGAAUUGCAGAAUCCAGUGAAUCAUCGAAUCUUUGAACGCACAUUGCGCCCGCCAGAAUGCUGGCGGGCAUGCCUGUUCGAGCGUCAUUUCAACCCUCGACCUCCCCUUGGGGAGGUCGGCGUUGGGGACCGGCAGCACACCGCCGGCCCUGAAAUGGAGUGGCGGCCCGCCCGCGGCGACCUCUGCGCAGUAAUACAGCUCGCACCGGAACCCCGACGCGGCCACGCCGUAAAACACCCAACUUCUGAACGUUGACCUCGAAUCAGGUAGGACUACCCGCUGAACUUAA